UGAUGAUUCUUCAUCAAAAUAUGGUUCUGCUUUUCAGCAAUAAGUAAAACAGAGAUCAAAUCCAAAAAUUUGGUGAACUUUUGUGCCAUAUAUUAUUGCUGCAGGACAAUAUUGGUGGCAUAGAAGAUCGAAUAGGUCUUCUCCAGGAGAUCUGAUUUAGUUAGUUCCACUUUACAGGAGUUCAGAAGUUAUCGAAUUCUAUAAACUUCAGAGUUGUAUUCAUUCACAGACUUAAAUUCUUAGAAACAAAGAUGCUGCUAGUGGUGUCUUACUUCAGGAAAGUAGAUAUCUUUCUGGUGAUCGAAACAGUCGGCUAGAGCAAGCUAGAGGGUGUGAAGGUCAUCUUCAGCGAGGUAUUCAGUCUGCAGUGCAUCAUAGAUGUGUCUUCAAAUAAAGAUCAUUGCAUUACCUUUCUCAGCUUCGUCGACAAGUUUGUCGUCAAUAGGUGCCUCGAUGGUGGCUCUAAUACCCUUUGUAGUAAGAUAGAGCUUCACGUCUUGAACCCACUUCAUGUAGUUUCUUUCAGAUAUUUCCAGAGCGGUGAAACCGAGCUUGUUCAAGUUCAACGCGUCCCUAAAACGGAGUGUACAACAAAAACGUGGUUAGUCAUAUAGUGAUCCAUAGACAUAUAUAGUAGAACAUUCAGGUUUUAUAAACAUGUAUUGGUUUAAUUUAUGCAUGAAAGCUACAGGUUUCAUGUGGUAGGUUUUAAAUGAAAACUUUAGGUUUCAAAGGCACUAAAUAUGAAACUAUAAGUUCAAUUUAGUUUUAUGAACGAUUAGUUCAUAAAGGAGAGAUUCCUGCAAGAAACACAUAAUGCAAUAUGCUUGUUUAAGUAUAGUAGAUUUGAGUUGCUUCAAGAACUCAAGUGUGAGAGCUUCGAGACUUCGAAAUUCAAAGUAUAAAAAUAAAUUAUUGAAUCGUUAAUGUCCAAAAGUGAUCUUCAGGUUAAUAAUUUUGGAUUCAUUAUCAGAUAAGUGGAUUGCAUGUCACUUUUAAUUAAUUCAAUAGAUCGAGACCAAACGAGGUCUAUCGUGGAAGAAAAAUAAUAUGGGAGAAGAGCCCUGCAAGUUUGGUUGCAGGCUUAUUGGGCCUUAGGGAGGGCUGCAGGCCUCGGGCCAAGCGUUCUGGGUGAGCCCAGCAACCGAGGCUGCUGGCUUUAGGCUAAAAUUGGACAAAGGUGCAGGCCUAGUGAAAGCGACCUUUUGGUUGGUCCAGGGAAGCCUAGCCAAAGCUAGGUUUCAAAUUUUGGGUUCGGGGCAGGUCAAGCCCAACAGCAA
This 1280-nucleotide long non-coding RNA is filed under the name Malus domestica (apple). RNAcentral's name for it is "long non-coding RNA (MDOM_LNC008662)". Lineage: Eukaryota; Viridiplantae; Streptophyta; Magnoliopsida; Rosales; Rosaceae. The record is from RNAcentral.